UUACUUUUCAUUACAGUAAAAAUAUUUGCUACAUUUUUGCUCCUACUAUAUAUAUAUAAAGAGAGAGAGAGAGUCUGGCUACUAUACUUUUAUAAAUAUAGACCAUUUUGUACUCAUAAGUUUUUAGCCGUUAAAUUUAUCUCUUUAACUAUUUUCAUCCGUUAAAUCAUACUAUUGCAUCCCUUCAUUCAACGACCGAAAAUUUAUGAAUAUAAAGAGGACUAUACUCGAAAGAGUAUAUGUAUAGUUUUAGGGUUAAAUCAUAUAUAAAUUACUUAGC
This 280-nucleotide long non-coding RNA is filed under the name Ananas comosus (pineapple). RNAcentral describes it as "long non-coding RNA (ACOM_LNC020634)". Lineage: Eukaryota; Viridiplantae; Streptophyta; Magnoliopsida; Poales; Bromeliaceae. The record is from RNAcentral.